Molecule: ribosomal RNA, 253 nt
Filed under: uncultured bacterium
Lineage: Bacteria
Description: partial 16S ribosomal RNA
Rfam family: Bacterial small subunit ribosomal RNA
Source: RNAcentral
UACAGAGGGGGCAAGCGUUGUUCGGAAUUACUGGGCGUAAAGGGCGCGUAGGCGGCCUGCUAAGUCGAACGUGAAAUCCCUGGGCUCAACCCAGGAACUGCGUCCGAUACUGGUUGGCUUGAAUCCGGGAGAGGGAUGUGGAAUUCCAGGUGUAGCGGUGAAAUGCGUAGAUAUCGGAAAGAACACCAACGGCGAAAGCACUCUGCUGGGCCGACACUGACACUGAGAGACGAAAGCUAGGGGAGCGAAUGGG